CGGUUGGCGAGAGUGGCGGGGAGUGGGGUUAUCGCGUACUCUCCGCGGCACAUGGCACCGCCCGCGGGGGGACCCUCCGGCCCCUCACAUAGCCCCUGACAGCCCCGCCGGCCCCUCACACAGCCCCACAGGCCCCUCACACAGCCCCGCAGGCACUGCGGAGGGGUUCGGCCGGGGAGCGGUGGUUUGGCGUGGAGCGGGAGGGCUGUUUUCCUGCCCAGCCGAGUGCCUCGCUGCCUGGGUGUAGCAUUUGUGGUCGCCGGCUCAUUGCCCACAUGGAGACCACUGACGAGUCGUGUCCUUCAGGGGCUUUCACCAGUGAAUUUCACAAUCUUCAUUCAUUGAAAUACUAAGUCGCCUUUUUUAAUACCUGGAAGGUAUAAUCAGAGACUCUAGGGUCUAUUAUCAGCAAUGCAAGGACACAGAUUUUAUCUGGUAGUUGGACAAAAGUAGCAAGACUUUGCUCAACCUUGCUCACCUUAUACUUGACUAGCUGCAACCUAAGGAUCUCCUUGGGAAUUGCAGCUGGCAUCUUUGUUCACUGCCAGAGUAUGUGGUAGCUCUUUCACUUGGUACUCUCAGGCACUCUCUUCACAUCAUCUGAAAAAAUUUGUUCUCGGAUUAACAUGAUUGUGUGUCCAAGGCCUAAUUGUCAUUCUGGAGUGAUGAACAACACAGCUUCAGGGAAAAAAGUUCCGGAGUGGGAUAUGGACCAUAGUAUACUACAUGUGAUGUAAAGAACUAUUAUCAUCUUCCUCACCUGCUUGCCUGUCUUAUAAUUAAAAAAAAAAAUUAUAUGUAUCUGGAAGAAAUAAUUAAAAUGGAGAUAAUAUUUAUUGCCAUUGCUGGUGAUACUGGCAUGACAUAUUAGGGUGUUUAUGUAUCUUUCAAAAAAUGGUUUGUGAUUCUUUUAUGUCAGAUAAGUGAUGAGGCAGGUGUGAUUCCUAGGCAAAACAGACCCCUGCAAAUUGAAUCACAGUACCAAGGUAAGACUGUCAUUGUGCAAGCCUCUUCUGCCCUGAAGCUAAUGUGUACAAUCUGUUUUUGCAAGUGCUUUCAUAUUUUUGUUAUUUAUUAUAAACAUAUACAGCACGUAAGUGUUUUUAUUAUUGGCUGACUUUGGUAUUUUGUAGUCACGAUUGUGGUAUUUAAACAGGAGAUGAUCUGUUCUGCACAUGGAAAAGGGGCUGUGUUAUGGAGGAAAUAAUUAAAAAAACUGUUGCAAUUUUUUGGCAAGAGGGUGUUAUGAUUAUAUCUCAAAGAAUAUACCCGAUGUUCAUUAUGUUCAUGUACAAACCCAUGGCGAUUUGUAUCUGAUUUCUAGUCUGUACCUAGGGAGCAUUGUCUUUGUGUUAGAAAUGCAAGUAUGCUAUUAAUUUGUAAAGUUCUUACAUGUAUAUAGUCUCAUCUAUUUCUUUUUUAGCAGAUGUAUAAUAUUGCUUCCCAAUUUCACCCUAAGAGCUAUGAUUACUUAGAUUAAAUGAGGAAUGUCACUUUAAUAGCAACUUUUGUAAAUAAUGGAGAUCUUUUUAUAAAACUUCAUCAUAUUAACUUUAUAUUAAUAUCCAAAAUGCAUUUGGUAUGAUAAAACAGCACAUUGCCAUUGGUUAAGAAAAUUCCUUUCAAAGAAUUUGCCUGGCAGUAAUUUUUAGAACACAUUUCAAGACUUUCUGAAAAUCUUGAAAUCAAGCAUGACAUUAUUGUGUUAUAAAAAUGUGGUUGGUGAGGGACACAUAGUUAUUUUCAGGUUCCAGAUGAAGCAGAGAUGAUAAUUUAUCUCCAGUCACUGCUAGAAAAAAUUUUUAGACACUUACAGACUGCAGGCUUUUUUUUUCUUCUCCUACUGCACCAUUGUUGUACAGAGAGAUUAUUUUUACAGGAGACGUUGUGUCCAGGAUAUACAUAUCUAGCUGAAAGUUGUCUCAAGGUAGGAAAACUCCUGAAACAUUCAUCCCUCACAUCUCAGGGAUAUGAUUUCCAGGCAAAUGCUCAGCUUUAGAAAUUGUGCAUCACAGCACUGUGCAUGUAUAUAUUGGAACACGAAAUGCCAAGUAUAAUGCCAGGUUUUCUGAAGCAGAUCUAUCUUUUAGUUAAAGUAUUCUUACACUAAAUUGGUGAUUAAUAAGUAAUGUUCUAGCUGAACAAAGUCUCAGUUCAGAAGGGUGCAGUUGCUGCUCUGUGUUUAGACAUUGUCCAGCUAGGGGCCUCAAUGCAGUGCAAGAAUUCCAAAGGCAACUCUUCGAACUGAAAAAUAAAAAGAAUAUGAAGGAAGCUGGCAACAAGUUUAUAACAGCUAAUGCUCUUAUAAACAUAUUUUGAACAAUGCUAGUGUAUUGAAUUUAGGGGGUGAGUGGGCUAGAACCACAGUGUAUUGCUUCAUAUUGGUAUUUUUUUCUUAUAUGGGUCUUUAGCAUUUUUUUCCCUCCACUUGGUUACCAAGGAAUGCAAAGCAAGCUGUCACUGUGUGUAAGAUGAAAGCAAGAUCUAAGAGCUCUAGAGCAGUUGAGAACAUGGAUACAGCAUCUUGGGUGUCAGGAUGACACUAUGCUGGCAGAGGAUCUGUAAGGGACAGAGGCUUCCAUUUCCUGCUGUCAUUUUGUCAGGAUCCAGGUCAGCUGUGUUAUACAGAGAGAAAGUGUUGUCUUCAACAUGGGAAUAUGUCUCUAUAGCACCUCAGGUUGAGGGGGGUCACUACCUUGGAGUACAGGACACGUUAUGGGUUACAGGGGAAGAGCAUUUUGAGAUUGUGCAAAACUUAUCACAGGAUGUUUAGGGAAGGAACAACAAGCAGGGAAAGGGAGUGAUAGAGGUUGUUUGGGGAAAAAGAUCUUGAGGAAAAUAGAGAGAUAAGGGGCUAAAAGGGGGCAGUUGCAUGUAAACAGAUGGCUUUUCUGGCCACGCCCUCUGCUGGGUCAUCAGAAUCUGUCCUGUCCUCUCAUUAAACUCCAUUUUUAAGUUCCUG
Molecule: long non-coding RNA, 2962 nt
Organism: Pipra filicauda (Wire-tailed manakin)
Lineage: Eukaryota; Metazoa; Chordata; Aves; Passeriformes; Pipridae
Exons: 6
Source: RefSeq, a predicted model, not a curated record